This 137-nucleotide ribosomal RNA is filed under the name uncultured eukaryote. Its description in RNAcentral is "partial 18S ribosomal RNA". It matches the Rfam family "Eukaryotic small subunit ribosomal RNA", at positions 1299 to 1458 of the family's 1831-position model. The record is from RNAcentral.
UGGUGGAGUGAUUUGUCUGGUUUAUUCCGUUAACGAACGAGACGUGUGUAUGUAGUUUAUUUGCUUGUCCUUUGGACGAGGUCAAGUACCUACAUAGACUAUUAGUGACUAACUAAUUGAAGUGACACGCAAUAACA